RNAcentral lists this non-coding RNA (800 nucleotides) under Pan troglodytes (chimpanzee). Lineage: Eukaryota; Metazoa; Chordata; Mammalia; Primates; Hominidae. The record is from RNAcentral.
ACUCUGUUGCACCGCCCAGUCGCCCGGCUUUCCACUGAGGGACGCCCCCUGCUCUGGACUGCUUAGCCUACUCCAGCUGGCCCCAUCUCACCUCAUCGGCCCCGCCUCCUCCGCAUGCCCACUCCGGGCGCCCACUCCUGAGGAGCUAUCCCAGAGUCCGCGCGGCCUCGCCUUCCCGGCCCGCUCCCCACCCCGCCCCGUCCCACCUCGCCUCGCCCUCCCCGGGCUCUAGCCACUUGGUGCGGCAGGUGUCCUGCAGGCCGGCUUGAGAUUCCCGGGCUCGCCCUCGUGGUGUUCCAGGAACACGAGUCUCGCUCGGGCACCAGGCUGGAGUGCAGUGGCACGGUCUCGGCUUACUACAACCUCCGCCUUCCGGAUUCAAGUGAUUCUGCUGCCUCAGCCUCCCGAGUAGCUGGGAUUACAGUGUUUCAGAAUCACCUGGGAUGAUCUGCAUGAAGAUUCCUGGCCUCCACCAAAGACUUACUGAAUCAGAAAGGAGGCAAGAGGAUGAGGAAUGCUUAAGAAUCUGCAUUAACAAACUUUACAACUGAAUCUUACAACAUACAGAAGCAUGGAAACUACUGCCUCAAGGGAUUAUCUCAACUUGAGUUUAAACAUAGGAAUUGCUGACUACCUUUAAAAUGUAAAAAUAGUAUCUUUAUGGGAGGGAUGUUGUUUGGGGGCAGCUACUAAAUAGUGAAAUCAUUCCUUUAAAAUACCCUCUCAAGUCUGCCCCAGUUAUCCAUUUUACUGGAUAGUCUUGGUAUCCAGAUGAUUUAGGGAAAAAAAUAGUAGUAGCA